AGGACCGCCGUAAUGAUUAAUAGGGAUAGUCGGGGGCAUCAGUAUUCAAGCGUCAGAGGUGAAAUUCUUGGAUUGCUUGAAGACUAACUACUGCGAAAGCAUUUGCCAAGGAUGUUUUCAUUAAUCAGUGAACGAAAGUUAGGGGAUCGAAGACGAUCAGAUACCGUCGUAGUCUUAACCAUAAACUAUGCCGACUAGGGAUCGGGCGGGGUUAGUAUUUUGACCCGCUCUGGCACCUUACGAGAAAUCAAAGU
This 254-nucleotide ribosomal RNA is filed under the name Cladosporium sphaerospermum. RNAcentral's name for it is "partial 18S ribosomal RNA". It matches the Rfam family "Eukaryotic small subunit ribosomal RNA", at positions 853 to 1104 of the family's 1831-position model. Lineage: Eukaryota; Fungi; Ascomycota; Dothideomycetes; Cladosporiales; Cladosporiaceae. The record is from RNAcentral.